UGGGCCUAAUUUACAAAUUAUGCUAUAUUAUAGGCAGUUAUAGGCAAAAUAGUGUAUAUUGGGGCUUUCUACUGUCAGACUUGGUAUGAUUCCCCACAGAUGGGGAAUCUGUAUAUUGUUACAGAGCCAUUUUUCUGGGUGGUGCUAGGCAUUCAAUCCAGGGCCUCACACUCGUUAGACAAGAACUCUGUAACUGAACUAUAGCUCCACUCUUUUUUUUUUUUUUUUUUUGAGACAGGGUUUCUCUGUAUAGCCCAGGCUGUCCUGGAACUCACUUUGUAGACCAGGCUGGCCUCGAACUCAGAAAUCUGCCUGCCUCUGCCUCUGCCUCCCGAGUGCUGGGAUUAAAGGCGUGCGCCACCACACCCGGCUCUAUAGCUCCACUCUUUUUUGUCAUUUUAAAGAGAUGACAUCCAAGCUUUUUGGCAAAAUUAGCCUCGUUUCUAAAUGGCACUUAACAUAAUCCCUUCCAUUUCUUCAGAGAUUUCUUCUAUCAGGCUUGGGGGUUUCAGGUAUGGAGAUGGUACCUUUCAAUACGGUUGCCAAAACAACAACAAAACAACAACAAAAAACCAAGAGCUUUUCUUAGCUGCAGUCUCCCAUUUAGCUUUCCCUCUUGAAACUGAAAACCCCGGGCAAACACAGAUGGGCAGUUAUCAAGAAUUCAAUUGGUCCAAACUCACACAAGUUUCAGCUCACAAAGGCAGAGCCAAAGAAAGAAGCCUCCAUGUUGAGUGGGCAGUCUGUUGUUCAUCAGCUCUGACUGGCAGCUCUACCUCAUAUUGGCAGGGUCCCUUGGUGGUCAUGUCGUUCCAUGAACAGGGAGAACAUGCUGCAGCCUACAAAUCCAUACUUGCUUUCUGAAGUGGUGGAGCUAUUUAAAAGGUACCAGUGGGGCAUGAAAUCUAAAGAUGGUGUACUGAAACUUGAGGAAGAAUUGAGGGAGUUGCAAUGUGAUUAGUGCAGCUGAAAUCUGUCCAGACCAUUGAGUUCACCAUUAAUAUUAUAAAAAGGAUGUUGUGGGCCUGUUAUAUUACUUUAUUCUACCUGAAACUAUUAAUAUGGUCUAAAUGAUUAGUCAAUCCUAAUGUCCCAUUAAAUAUAAAUGAUGAAAAUGAAUAAGCCAUGGACAGUUUAUCACUACCUUAAUAGAGUACUAGCCCAAACCACAAUAGUCCUUUGGGGUCUGAGAUGGUUAUUUUUAGCUACCAUGAUUGACAUAAGCACAUUAUAAAUUUCACAUGGUGCUAGGGCUUUGGGGCAAUUGUACUGUUUAUAUUCAAGUAAGAACUGAGGCUGAAGUAUGCCAGCAAACGACUGAUAAAGAGCCAGAGGUAUGUCCGCAAUCUGGUUGGUAGCUUUCCCAUAUAGAACAGACGCAAGAAGCAGCUGCCAGAGCCCCACGCUGCCAGUGCUUCCUUUUUUGAUGCAAGAUUAUAUCUGGCUCUUCAAAGUCACAGCACCACUUGCCCUAACCCUAAGCCCAAACAUUUUCCCCAAGCUGGAAGUCACCAGAAAAGUCACAAGUACCACUCUGGAACUGGCAAAGCAGCUGACUUUUCAGCCUCAGUGUGUAGCAUGCCCGGUGUAUACAGCCCUUGGGUGACCACCAUCUUAAUAACAUUUCCAGGUUCCAACCUGUACUCUGAGAAAAGGCAAGGCUUGAUGUUAAAAGAAAGGGUUGGCACUUAAUCAGGUUGUCUUCUCUAUAGUUUAUCAAUGUCCUUCACCAGCUAUGAAUGAUCACCCUUGACUACAAAGAGCAGUCUGAGGCCCAGAAGACUCUGUGUUUUAAACAUAGACAUGCCAUUGAGCAUCCUAUCAUGAGGCAGGUUACAUAAAGAAAUCUAAAACAAAGAUUCAUUUUUAACAUUUUAUUGGGUAAUAACAAUAGUGUCAAAGCUACUACAAUGUCUUUCCACAGCCAUACCUUACAGACCCACAUAAACCUUUUCAUAUUUUUCUCUUUUUUUGUUCAUUUUUAAUAUUUUAAAGCCAUACAUGUCAUAUAAAAUGCCCACUUCCAAUAACUUCUUCAAACUAGUAAGCAAUUCAGUGUGGAAGGAGGGAGGGAGGAGCUGGUUAUAACGAAGGGCUUUUAGAUAACCUGUGAUGUCUCACUGUAAUCAAAACACCAGGUUACUAAGAAGGGAGGAGAGAGCUACUCCAGGUAGCUUUUUGCUUGUUACAAGUCUCACCAUUGCAUCACCAAAAACUCUUUAUGCUGGUGACCGAUUCAAAGGAAUUUUGGGAAACAUAUAAAACACUAAAAUAACUUAGAAACUAGAUCCAAAUAUCUCAAAAGUAAUCAACUUUGAUAUACAAAAGCGGUCAGAGGUGCUUACAAAAGUAUUUUUUGUUUGUUUGUUUUAUUUUGUUUUUUUUUUUUUCUCAGUGCGUCUAAGUACCAGCGCAGUUACUGGGUCUGGAGCAAAAUAAAAGGUUCAUUUUCUUCUGAAACAGUAAUAAAAAACAAGGAAAACAUAUCUUUGUAUAUAAAGGAUCAAUGCUGGUCUUAAGAAUAAAUGUAAUCAGAAACCCUUAAAUCGAGAGGCACACAAUGGGUUUCCACUUG
RNAcentral lists this long non-coding RNA (2575 nucleotides) under Mus musculus (house mouse). RNAcentral's name for it is "long non-coding RNA chrX:142849286-142851861". Lineage: Eukaryota; Metazoa; Chordata; Mammalia; Rodentia; Muridae. The record is from RNAcentral.